This 352-nucleotide unclassified non-coding RNA is filed under the name soil metagenome. RNAcentral describes it as "partial contains 5.8S ribosomal RNA, internal transcribed spacer 2, and large subunit ribosomal RNA". The stretch from base 1 to 120 matches the Rfam family "5.8S ribosomal RNA", at positions 35 to 154 of the family's 154-position model. The record is from RNAcentral.
GAUGAAGAACGCAGCGAAAUGCGAUAAGUAAUGUGAAUUGCAGAAUUCAGUGAAUCAUCGAAUCUUUGAACGCACAUUGCGCCCGCCAGUAUUCUGGCGAGCAUGCCUGUUCGAGCGUCAUUACAACCCUCAGGCCCCCGGGCCUGGCGUUGGGGAUCGGCGGAGCCCCCCGUGGGCACACGCCGUCCCCCAAAUGCAGUGGCGGUCCCGCCGCAGCUUCCAUCGCGUAGUAGCUAACACCUCGCGACUGGAGAGCGGCGCGGCCACGCCGUAAAACACCCAACUCUUCUGAAGUUGACCUCGAAUCAGGUAGGAAUACCCGCUGAACUUAAGCAUAUCAAUAAGCGGAGGA